AGAUCGGAUGAGGUUUGUCCCUCCUUUUGCAGUGCCUCCUGGAGACUUGUGACCUCGGUGAUCUUCUCCUCGAGGCGGGCGGCCUCGAUCAGGCGACCUUCCUCUGCCCGGGCUACCUCCCUCUUGGCGAUCUUCAUCGCCUCGACGUUGGCGAUGAGCUGGUGUCCAAUCUACAAAAAAGACUGGGGAGUCAAUAUAAAGGCUAAGGAGUAAACUAAGUAAAGAAGCAAGAAGAAAGAAAAAGUGAAUUGACCUACCUUAAGAAA
This 266-nucleotide long non-coding RNA is filed under the name Elaeis guineensis (African oil palm). RNAcentral's name for it is "long non-coding RNA (EGUI_LNC082295)". The record is from RNAcentral. Lineage: Eukaryota; Viridiplantae; Streptophyta; Magnoliopsida; Arecales; Arecaceae.